RNAcentral lists this ribosomal RNA (1461 nucleotides) under uncultured bacterium. Its description in RNAcentral is "16S ribosomal RNA". It matches the Rfam family "Bacterial small subunit ribosomal RNA". The record is from RNAcentral.
AGUUUGAUCCUGGCUCAGAUAACGCUGGCGGCGUGCCUUAGGCAUGCAAGUCGAGCGGUGCUGAGACCGCAAGGUCGAAGUACAGCGGCAGACGGGUGAGUAAUGGUAAGGAAUCUAUCUCGAAGUGAAGGACAUCUCGCCGAAAGGCGGGGUAAUCCUGCAUGUAAUCGUAAGAUAAAAGGGCGUAACUGCCCGCUUUGAGAGGAGCCUUACUCCUAUCAGCUAGUUGGUGGGGUAAUGGCCCACCAAGGCUAUGACGGGUAACUGGUGUGAGAGCACGACCAGUCACAAUGGCACUGAGAUACGGGCCAUACACCUACGGGUGGCAGCAACCGGGAAUUGUCGACAAUGGACGAAAGUCUGAUCGCGCGACGCCGCGUGAGGGAUGAAGCCUUUCGGGGUGUAAACCUCUUUUGUUCCGACAUCGCGUCGGGAAGAAUAAGCAUCUACUAACUACGUGCCAGCAGUCGCGGUAAUACGUAGGAUGCAAGCGUUAUCCGAAUUUAUUGGGCGUAAAGGGUCGCGUAGGCGGUCCAUCGCAUCUUGCCUUAAAUCGUUCCGCUCAACGGAAUCACGGGUGAGAGAUGGAUGGACUAGAGGGAUGGUGGGGUUUCUGGAACUUUCGGUGUAGCAGUGAAAUGCGUUGAUAUCGAAAGGAACACCAAGAGCGAAGGCAGGAAACCAAUCAUUUUCUGACGCUGAGGCACGACAGCUAGGGGAGCGAAGCAGAUUAGAGACCUGCGUAGUCCUAGCCGUAAACGCAUGGGUGCUAGUUACCCUGGAAAUUUUGCAGUUUCAUUGAGGCUGCAGAAUUUUCAGGGUGACGUAAGUUAACACGUUAAGCACCCCGCCUGGGGAGUACGACCGCAAGGUUAAAACUCAAAGGAAUUGGCGGGGACCCGCACAACCGGUGGAGCAUGUGGUUUAAUUCGAGACGAAGCGAAAGACCUCACCACGGUUUGACAUGCUAUCGUUUAUCCCGGCAGAAACGUUGGGAAAUCCGCAAGGAUGAUAGCAAAGCUGCUGCAUGGCUGUCGUCAGCUCGUACCGUGAGGUGUUCUCUUAAGUGAGAUAACGAGCGCAACCCUCAUCCCGAGUUAUAUUUGUCUCGGGGGACGGUCCCGAUGUAUAUCGGGAAGGAAGGUGGGGACGACGUCAAGUCAGCACGGCGCUUAUGCCGUGGGCCACACACAUCCUACAAUGGCGAAGAACAAUGAGUCGCAAGAGGGUGACCUCAAGCAAAUCUCUGAAAUUUCGCCUCAGUUGGAAUUGGAGUCUGCAACUCGACUCCAUGAACAUGGAAUCGGUAGUAAUCGCGGAUCAGCAGGCCGCGGUGAAUACGUUCUCGGGUCUUGCACACACCGCCCGUCAAGCCAACAAAGUCGAGGGCGGUCGAUGUUCCGGCGUAAGCCGGGAUGAAGCCGAACUCGGCGAUGGGGACUAAGUCGUAACAAGGUAACC